This 442-nucleotide ribosomal RNA is filed under the name uncultured bacterium. RNAcentral's name for it is "partial 16S ribosomal RNA". It matches the Rfam family "Bacterial small subunit ribosomal RNA", at positions 338 to 795 of the family's 1533-position model. The record is from RNAcentral.
CCUACGGGUGGCAGCAGUGGGGAAUAUUGGGCAAUGGGCGCAAGCCUGACCCAGCAACGCCGCGUGAAGGAAGAAGGCUUUCGGGUUGUAAACUUCUUUUCUGAGGGACGAAGAAAGUGACGGUACCUCAGGAAUCAGCCCCGGCUAACUACGUGCCAGCAGCCGCGGUAAUACGUCGGUGGCAAGCGUUCUCCGGAUUUAUUGGGUUUAACGGGUGCGCAGGCGGAAGAUCAAGUCAGCGGUAAAAUUGAGAGGCUCAACCUCUUCGAGCCGUUGAAACUGGUUGUCUUGAGUGAGCGAGAAGGAGGCGGAAGGCGUGGGGGAGAGGUGAAAUGCAGAGAUAUCACGCAGAACUCCGAGUGCGAAGGCAGCAUACCGGCGCUCAACUGACGCUCAUGCACGAAAGUGUGGGUAUCGAACAGGAGUAGAUACCCCUGUAGGC